Molecule: ribosomal RNA, 253 nt
Filed under: uncultured bacterium
Lineage: Bacteria
Description: partial 16S ribosomal RNA
Rfam family: Bacterial small subunit ribosomal RNA
Source: RNAcentral
UACGUAGGAUGCAAGCGUUGUCCGGAAUUAUUGGGCGUAAAGAGCGCGCAGGCGGUAUGACAAGUCAGAUGUGAAAGAGGCCGGCUUAACCGGCAAGGGUCAUUUGAAACUGUCAGACUAGAGUGCAGCAGAGGAUAGUGGAAUUCCUGGUGUAGUGGUGAAAUGCGUAGAUAUCGGGAGGAACACCAGUGGCGAAGGCGACUAUCUGGGCUGCAACUGACGCUGAGGUGCGAAAGCGUGGGGAGCAAACAGG